Molecule: non-coding RNA, 959 nt
Filed under: Ephippus orbis (orbfish)
Lineage: Eukaryota; Metazoa; Chordata; Actinopteri; Ephippiformes; Ephippidae
Description: 12S ribosomal RNA
Rfam family: Bacterial small subunit ribosomal RNA
Source: RNAcentral
CAAAAAGCUUGGUCCUGGCUUUUCUAUCAGCUCUAGCCAAAUUUACACAUGCAAGUAUCCGCAACCCAGUGAGAAUGCCCAACAGUUCCCCACUUUCGGGAACAAGGAGCCGGUAUCAGGCACUUACUAACUUUAAAGCCCACGACACCUUGCUUAGCCACACCCCCAAGGGAAUUCAGCAGUGAUAGACAUUGACCUAUAAGUGUAAACUUGACUCAGUUAAGGCUAAAAGAGUCGGUAAAACUCGUGCCAGCCACCGCGGUUAUACGAGAGACUCAAGUUGAUAGACAUCGGCGUAAAGAGUGGUUAAGAACUACAAAAAACUAAAGCCAAACACCUUCAAAGCUGUUAUACGCAUUCGAAGGCAAGAAGCCCAACUACGAAAGUGGCUUUACACCCCCCUGAACCCACGAAAGCCAGGGCACAAACUGGGAUUAGAUACCCCACUAUGCCUGGCCCUAAACAUUGGCAGAACCCUACCCUUACUGCCCGCCUGGAAACUACGAGCACCAGCUUAAAACCCAAAGGACUUGGCGGUGCUUUAGACCCACCUAGAGGAGCCUGUUCUAGAACCGAUACCCCCCGUUCAACCUCACCCUUCCUUGUUAUUUCCCGUCUAUAUACCGCCGUCGUCAGCCUACCCUGUGAAGGCCUAACAGUGCGCAAAAUUGGCACAGCCCAAAACGUCAGGUCGAGGUGUAGCAAAUGGAAGGGGAAGAAAUGGGCUACAUUCUCUACAAUAGAGAACCACGCACGGUACGAUGAAACCUCGUACCAUAAAGGAGGAUUUAGCAGUAAGUAGAAAGUAGAGUGUUCUACUGAAACAGGCCCUUAAGCGCGCACACACCGCCCGUCACUCUCCCCGAGCCUACAAGAUUUUUAUAUCUAAUACCCCAAAACUGCAAAGGGGAGGCAAGUCGUAACAUGGUAAGUGUACCGGAAGGUGCACUUGGAAAAAU